GUGUCUUCUGGGACAUUCUUGCUCUUGAUUUAUGCUCCGGUUGCAUCUUGACUUCUUGAGGUGUGACAGUGCAUUUUUGCCUUAUAAAGGAGUGAAAUUCAAGUUAUUUUGCUGCGUGGUCCCAGAUUCAAGAUGUGAUGUUUGAUCGAUUAAUUCUUAUUUCAGGUCUCAAGGUGUGGAAGUCAAAGUCAGGAUGUGAAUAUUAACAUACUGCCUCCCGUUUCUCAGGUUGGAGGGGACUGGAAAAGAGUGAACUGCCAUGGGAACAGAAUUCUUUUAUAGCCAUACAGCAGAUGCAGAGAGUGACACUAAAGUACUCACAAUGAAAUUUCUUGGGGAAGAUGGUACUGUAUGGAGAUUCAUGUAAAUCUGUCUGAAGUGUACUUUGGAUUACGAUGGCAGCUGCUGCACCUUCACCCUUGGCCAGCUCUGUAGAGAAGACAAAUGGAGCCAAGCUGAGCAGACUUCUAAUUGAUGGUGGAACGACAGUUCUGAGGAACGUGUUUGAUGGUUUUCAUCCUCCUGCAAACCUCGCAGCUGACCUCAACGCCAACCGUCUGAUCUUAAACAAUCUAUACAAGAAAAAGGUUUUACAUAAACCUCAGUG
This is a long non-coding RNA of Orbicella faveolata, 607 nucleotides long. The record is from RefSeq and is a predicted model, not a curated record. Lineage: Eukaryota; Metazoa; Cnidaria; Anthozoa; Scleractinia; Merulinidae.